RNAcentral lists this ribosomal RNA (496 nucleotides) under Cladosporium cf. nigrellum MU-190. RNAcentral describes it as "eukaryotic LSU rRNA". It matches the Rfam family "Eukaryotic large subunit ribosomal RNA", at positions 96 to 601 of the family's 3401-position model. The record is from RNAcentral. Lineage: Eukaryota; Fungi; Ascomycota; Dothideomycetes; Cladosporiales; Cladosporiaceae.
AAGCGGCAACAGCUCAAAUUUGAAAUCGGCUCACGCCCGAGUUGUAAUUUGUAGAGGAUGUUUCGGGUGAAGCCACGGUCCAAGUCCCUUGGAACAGGACGUCAGAGAGGGUGAGAACCCCGUACCUGGCCGUCGGUGCCCCCCGCUGUGAAACUCCUUCGACGAGUCGAGUUGUUUGGGAAUGCAGCUCUAAAUUGGUGGUAAAUUCCAUCUAAAGCUAAAUACCGGCCAGAGACCGAUAGCGCACAAGUAGAGUGAUCGAAAGAUGAAAAGCACUUUGAAAAGAGAGUUAAAAAGUACGUGAAAUUGUUGAAAGGGAAGCGCUUGCGGCCAUAUUUGUCUGUUGUUGCUCAACCCGCCUUUUGGCGGGUGCACUCUUCCGCGGUCAGGCCAGCAUCGGUUUGGGCGGUCGGAUAAAGACGCCGGGAACGUAGCCUCCUCUCGGGGAGGUGUUAUAGCCCGGCGUGCAAUGCGGCCAGCCCGGAGCCGAGGUUCG